GACGAACGCUGGCGGCGUGCCUAACACAUGCAAGUCGAGCGAACGGACCAGAAGUUUGCUUCUCUGAUGUUAUCGGCGGACGGGAGAGUCACAUGUGGACAACCUACCUAUCAGACUGGGAUAAUUUCGGGAAACCGGAUCUAAUAACGGAUAAUAUUUUGAACCGCAUUGUUCACAAGUGAAAGUCGGUCUUGCUGUCACUUAUAGAUGGAUCCGCGCUGCAUUAGCUAGUUGGUAAGGUAACGGCUUACCAAGGCAACGAGGCAUAGCCGACCUCAGCGGGUGAUCGGACACACGGGAGGUGAGACUGGGUCGAGACUCCUGCGGUAGGACGCAGUCGGGAAUCUUACGCGAUGGAGGAGAGCCGGACAGAGCAACGCGGCGUGAGUGAUGAAGGAGUACGGAUCGGAAAGCUCUGUUAGUAGGGGGGAACAUAUGUGUAAGUAACUGUGCAGAUAUUGACGGUACCGGGUCAAAAAGCCACGGCUAACUACGUG
This 497-nucleotide ribosomal RNA is filed under the name uncultured bacterium. RNAcentral describes it as "partial 16S ribosomal RNA". It matches the Rfam family "Bacterial small subunit ribosomal RNA", at positions 28 to 507 of the family's 1533-position model. The record is from RNAcentral.